This 362-nucleotide ribosomal RNA is filed under the name uncultured fungus. RNAcentral describes it as "LSU rRNA". It matches the Rfam family "Eukaryotic large subunit ribosomal RNA", at positions 65 to 424 of the family's 3401-position model. The record is from RNAcentral. Lineage: Eukaryota; Fungi.
CCAACAGGGAUUGCCCUAGUAACGGCGAGUGAAGCGGCAACAGCUCAAAUUUGAAAUCUGGCUCUUUCAGAGUCCGAGUUGUAAUUUGCAGAGGGCGCUUUGGCGUUGGCAGCGGUCCAAGUUCUUUGGAACAGGACGUCACAGAGGGUGAGAAUCCCGUACGUGGUCGCUAGCCUUCGCCGUGUAAAGCCCCUUCGACGAGUCGAGUUGUUUGGGAAUGCAGCUCUAAAUGGGAGGUAAAUUUCUUCUAAAGCUAAAUAUUGGCCAGAGACCGAUAGCGCACAAGUAGAGUGAUCGAAAGAUGAAAAGCACUUUGGAAAGAGAGUCAAAUAGCACGUGAAAUUGUUGAAAGGGAAGCGCUU